RNAcentral lists this ribosomal RNA (497 nucleotides) under uncultured bacterium. RNAcentral describes it as "partial 16S ribosomal RNA". It matches the Rfam family "Bacterial small subunit ribosomal RNA", at positions 28 to 507 of the family's 1533-position model. The record is from RNAcentral.
GAUGAACGCUGGCGGCGUGCCUAAUACAUGCAAGUCGAGCGAACGGACGAGAAGCUUGCUUCUCUGAUGUUAGCGGCGGACGGGUGAGUAACACGUGGCUAACCUAUCUAUAAGACUGGGAUAACUUCGGGAAACCGGAGCUAAUACCGGAUAAUAUUUUGAACCGCAUGGUUCAAAAGUGAAAGACGGUCUUGCUGUCACUUAUCGAUGUAUCCGCGCUGCAUUAGCUAGUUGGUAAGGUAACGGCUUACCAAGGCAACGAUGCAUAGCCGACCUGAGAGGGUGAUCGGCCACACUGGAACUGAGACACGGUCCAGACUCCUACGGGAGGCAGCAGUAGGGAAUCUUCCGCAAUGGGCGAAAGCCUGACGGAGCAACGCCGCGUGAGUGAUGAAGGUCUUCGGAUCGUAAAACUCUGUUAUUAGGGAAGAACAUAUGUGUAAGUAACUGUGCACAUCGUGACGGUACCUAAUCAGAAAGCCACGGCUAACUACGUG